CCUGGUGGCUAUAGCGGAGGGGUCACACCUCUUCCCAUUCCGAACAGAGAAGUUAAGUCCUCCUGCGCCGAUGGUACUGCUUGGGUGACCUUGUGGGAGAGUAGGUCGCUGCCGGGA
This 117-nucleotide ribosomal RNA is filed under the name Gemmatimonadota bacterium. RNAcentral also lists the same sequence under 1 other name. The record is from RNAcentral. Lineage: Bacteria; Pseudomonadati; Gemmatimonadota.